UAAGACGGAGGGCGCAAGCGUUGUUCGGAAUUACUGGGCGUAAAGCGCGGGCAGGCGGUCUGUUAAGUCGUUUGUGAAAACCCGGGGCUCAACCCCGGGAAUGCAUACGAUACUGGCAGGCUGGAGACUGGUAGAGGCUAGCGGAAUUCCUGGUGUAGCGGUGGAAUGCGUAGAUAUCAGGAAGAACACCUGUGGCGAAGGCGGCUAGCUGGGCCAGUUCUGACGCUCAUCCGCGAAAGCGUGGGGAGCAAACAGGAUUAGAUACCCUGGUAGUCCACGCCGUAAACGAUGGGCACUAGGUGCCGGGUCUCUAGACGGAUUCGGUGCCGCAGUUAACGCACUAAGUGCCCCGCCUGGGGAGUACGGUCGCAAGGCUG
Molecule: ribosomal RNA, 377 nt
Filed under: uncultured bacterium
Lineage: Bacteria
Description: bacterial SSU rRNA
Rfam family: Bacterial small subunit ribosomal RNA
Source: RNAcentral